This is a long non-coding RNA of Hirundo rustica (Barn swallow), 3529 nucleotides long. RefSeq lists it as uncharacterized. Lineage: Eukaryota; Metazoa; Chordata; Aves; Passeriformes; Hirundinidae. The transcript has 3 exons. The record is from RefSeq and is a predicted model, not a curated record.
AGUCAGUUGGAGUCUGCUGACCAUACUGCGAGGAGGAAGAGACAGGAAGCAGAGAGCUAGAAAUGCAGAGAGAAGAAGGAGAGAAAGAGCCAGAGCUGUGUGGAGCAACCCAUGGAACUGCAACUUAGCAAAGGUACAUUUAUUGACACAGGACAUUCUUCAGGGUCUGGUCCAUCCAGCUCAAUACAUAAACUUUCCUGCCACUUUCUACCCACUCUUCUGGAUGCCAGAUCUACAACUCUGCAGCACAAAAGGGAGGAAGCCACCAGUGCAAAAGAGGUCUAUAUCAGCAGUGGUUGGUAGAGAUUUCUCCAAAUGUCUAUCAGACAAAGCCCUUGUCUGGACUUGAGCAGUAGUGGUCCUGGUUUCCCACAUCUCUAGGUCCCAGUUGGACUCAUUGGCAAGAAAGAUACUUCCCUUCUGCAUUCAUAGAAGGAAAAACUCUAAUCACCUGAGCAUGUUGAGGGUGAACAGAAAUUAUGGCAAUGUCAUGUCUUGUCCUAUGAUAUAAGCAGCAGAGCAGAGAAUUUCAGGAGCAAAACUUUGAAUUAAGCCAUCUGCUAGUCUUUAAAUGGUGAACACCACGCAACAACUCUUGUUGAACAGCCAAGAGCAUGCUUCUCACUGAUCUCUGCUAAGACUGUUUUGCAGACUUGUUAGUCCUUGACAAAAAGGUCUAGGACUAAGAAUUAUACUCCAUUCUCUCAAUAAGGCUGUAAUUAAUGUGCUCAGUGUCUGCACAGCUUUAGUGUAUAAUAACCAUGAAACAGUAGCAGAAUCAUUCCCUGCAGAGAGGAAAGGCUUCUUCUUGUCCUUCUGAUAAUCAUUGCUGUGUGACAAACUUUUUAUAGCUCUUCUUGCCCUUAGGUUUACUAUUCAUUUUUUUCUUCAAUAGAAACAUUUCCAACUAUUUUGCAAAGUAUACUGGCUUCACCAAAUGACUCACUGAUAAUUACUGUCAUAGGAGAGCCAACUGCUCAGUAUGUUAAUAUGCCUUUUGCUAUUCUUAGUUGUUAUGGUGGCUGUAAAAACCCAUCAUGAGAUGUUUGCUCUGUGUCCUAUCUCAAAACAUAACAUAAUAGAAAAAUAUCUGUCCCUGGUGUCUUUCUGCCUGCAGUGGUCAAGCACACAUAUUUCCAAACAUCUUGGUAACUCAAGUGAGCUAUAUUUCUUAAAGGUUUAGUGCUGUAAUUUAAGUCAGGAUUAAUCACAAAUGUAAAUCAUCAAAGUCAGUGGGAUGACUAAUGUGAACAAAGAUUAAAUGGUAAGACCAAGUCUCAACUGUGUUUAAGAAAUGACUACCAACCCCCCCCCCCCCCCCCCCCCCCCCAUGCCUCUGGUUUCUUUACACAUUUCUCACCUUGGAGUAUGACAAAUGAAGCAGAAAAGUAGUUGACUAAAAAAGCAGCAGUGAAUAGUGUUAGGUCGUAUUGAAAAAAUUGACUAAGAAUUUUGACUUUCCCUUGUCUUGACUCUGCUGGAGACCAGGCAGUGAAUUUUGUGACUUUUAUUACAAUUUUUGAGUAAUCUCAUUUAGAUGACUAACUGAAUGAGGUUUGUGUUAUUCUGUCAUUUGGGAAACUUCUAUGCAAGAUGCUUUUGUUUUGUUUUGGAGGUAAGAUUGCUCAUAUCCACAUGGACAGAAGACUGUUUAAAGUGUGAAAGGUUCUUGGGGGGAGUUGUUUAUUUGCCUCCUGUCACAAAAUUUCAUCUGCUGGGGCUUUAGACAAGAUUCUGCUAGCAGUUGCUUCUGUUGCUGCAGAUCAGGAGAGCCUCUGGACACAAAGAAUCUUUGGGCCCCUUCUAGCAGAACUGAUCUUACUACUCAAGAAAUCCCCACUUCACAGCAAAAUCCUCCAAAUUAUUGUCCUGUCUCAUUUAAUCAGAGUGAUUCAAAAGUCAACAGCGAGGCAGCUCUGAGAAAGUACACAUAUCAAAUCCCACUAGUCCUUGGCAAUUUCUGAACAAGGUGUCAAAAAGUAGAACUUAGGGUGGUGAGCUUGUUUCACCAUACUAAAAUAGUUCCCGAUGGUAAUCACUUGUCACUUGUCUCCCUCCUGUGCUGUUGGCCAUGAGAAAUUGAGAUCUACCUACCUGUGUGUCAUCUCCACCUUCCUUUCAAAUUUAAUGUAGGUGUAAGGUGUGCCUUGCCAUCUCAGUCACCCAGAGUGCCUGCUGGCUUUCCUUCUUGUGUUUUCAUGUGGUGCACUCCAGAUUUCCUACUGAUCAUGUCUGCUACUCAGUCACAGGAAGAGGGAAGCUUGGACUCAUCUGUGGGUUUUUUGGUGUGGUUUUUUUUUGUUGUUUUUGUUUUGUUUUUUAAUUAUUAUUUUAUUUUUAUUUUCAGUGAUAUACCUAGCAUUUCCUACUUUCUAUAUGCAUACUAUACACUUCAUAAAAUGGCACAUUUUCACAUUCUUGAGAGCUUUCCAAUGAAUUUUUUUUUUUUUUCCCAAUCCAAUGUAAAAUCUUUGGUGUUACAUGUUUCUGCUUUUCACAACACUGGCAGUACUAUCUUGAGAGUUUCAGUAAGAGCAGUGUUCUACACAGUAGCAGCAUAUGUGUUCACUAAUGAAAUGAACUUUUGAAAAUACUUCUUUUUGUGUUUAAAAUAUUCAGGUGAAAUCAGAUACUUCCAUCAGUUCUGGAGAUAUUGCUGUUCCCGACAUUGUCUCUCAAUCUAAAUGAGUAACAAGCCAGUGGCUGUAGGGGCAGAAUUGGCAUUUGUGGCCUAAGAAACAGAACAUUUUUGUUAGCUUUCAGACUCAUCUAAAAUACUCAAAAACCAUAACCUUCUUAGUUUGUCAUAUGAAUAGCCAUGAAGCCUUAAGUAGGCUGUUGCAGUGCAAAAGUAUCAUGUAAAUUUUCUUUAUUUAGUCCAAGCACUUAUUGUGAAAUUUUUGGUGUUUCUUCACACUUUACAGUUCCAGUAAACAUUGCCUCACUUAUGUCUGCCUAAGUUACAAUGUGAACAUCUAUUUCUCUUGGGUUUGCUUUCAGCAAGAGUAUAUUGCAGCACAAAUAUUUUUCCAGAACAGUUUCCACAAAUGUUCCCAGAUGCAUAGAAAUAUUUUGAUUAAUACUUCAAACUGUAGUCAAAUGACUUGCCUUUUUCUUUAAUGCAUUUUAUUUCUGUCUUUGAUCUUUAUAAAAUCACAGUAUCACCUAUUUUAUGGAACUUUCACUACUGCUCUUCUUGAGCAGGAAGCUCUGGAGGAGACAGUCAGUUUUAAACAUUUUUGAGCACUGAUCACACUAAAUAUUUAAAAAGAUUUGGUGAAUAUAGUUUUCUGUAAUUGCAUUGCUAUGUAGUAAACCUCCUACAGAUUUAAAGAAAGCAACAAAAGAACCAAGGAUAAUAGCAUCUCUUCAGUAAAUUUCAGAGGGUAUGUGUGUGUACACAUAUCUAAAUCAUUAAAUUGUGUUUAGUAGAGCAUAAUCUUAAGAAACAUUUUAUUCUUAUUUUGCUCCAGAUUUAUUUCAGUUGUUACAUUUUGUAAUACUGUAUGUGGACAGUAAUAAAAGUGAG